Molecule: ribosomal RNA, 253 nt
Filed under: uncultured bacterium
Lineage: Bacteria
Description: partial 16S ribosomal RNA
Rfam family: Bacterial small subunit ribosomal RNA
Source: RNAcentral
UACAGAGGGUGCGAGCGUUAAUCGGAAUUACUGGGCGUAAAGCGCACGUAGUCGGCUUUGCAAGUCGGGUGUGAAAUCCCCGGGCUCAACCUGGGAACUGCAUCCGAGACUGCAUUGCUAGAGUAUGGGAGAGGGAAGCGGAAUUUCUGGUGUAGCAGUGAAAUGCGUAGAUAUCAGAAGGAACAUCAGUGGCGAAGGCGGCUUCCUGGACCAAUACUCACGAUCAGGUGCGAAAGCGUGGGGAGCAAACAGG